UACAGAGGAUGCAAGCGUUGUUCGGAAUUAUUGGGCGUAAAGCGCGUGUAGGCGGCCUUGCAAGUCGAGUGUGAAAGCCCUCAGCUCAACUGAGGAAGUGCGCCCGAAACUGCAGAGCUUGAGUGCCGGAGAGGAGGGUGGAAUUCUCGAAGUAGAGGUGAAAUUCGUAGAUAUCCGGAGGAACACCGACGGCGUAGGCAGCGCCCUAGACGAGACCUGACGCUCAGGCACGAAAGCGCGGGGAGCGAACAGG
This 253-nucleotide ribosomal RNA is filed under the name uncultured bacterium. RNAcentral describes it as "partial 16S ribosomal RNA". It matches the Rfam family "Bacterial small subunit ribosomal RNA", at positions 524 to 776 of the family's 1533-position model. The record is from RNAcentral.